CACGUAGGAGGCGAGCGUUGUCCGGAAUCAUUGGGCGUAAAGAGCGCGUAGGCGGCUUGGCAAGUCGGGUGUGAAAGCCCGGGGCUCAACCCCGGGACUGCAUUCGAUACUGUCAGGCUAGAGGUAGGUAGGGGAGAUCGGAAUUCCUGGUGUAGCGGUGAAAUGCGCAGAUAUCAGGAGGAACACCGGUGGCGAAGGCGGAUCUCUGGGCCUUACCUGACGCUCAGGCGCGAAAGCUAGGGGAGCGAACAGG
RNAcentral lists this ribosomal RNA (253 nucleotides) under uncultured bacterium. RNAcentral describes it as "partial 16S ribosomal RNA". It matches the Rfam family "Bacterial small subunit ribosomal RNA", at positions 524 to 776 of the family's 1533-position model. The record is from RNAcentral.